RNAcentral lists this ribosomal RNA (429 nucleotides) under Chloroflexota bacterium. RNAcentral describes it as "Chloroflexi bacterium partial 16S ribosomal RNA". It matches the Rfam family "Bacterial small subunit ribosomal RNA", at positions 355 to 776 of the family's 1533-position model. Lineage: Bacteria; Bacillati; Chloroflexota. The record is from RNAcentral.
UGGGGAAUAUUGCACAAUGGGCGCAAGCCUGAUGCAGCCAUGCCGCGUGUGUGAAGAAGGCCUUCGGGUUGUAAAGCACUUUCAGCGGGGAGGAAGGCGGUGAGGUUAAUAACCUCAUCGAUUGACGUUACCCGCAGAAGAAGCACCGGCUAACUCCGUGCCAGCAGCCGCGGUAAUACGGAGGGUGCAAGCGUUAAUCGGAAUUACUGGGCGUAAAGCGCACGCAGGCGGUCUGUCAAGUCGGAUGUGAAAUCCCCGGGCUCAACCUGGGAACUGCAUUCGAAACUGGAAGGCUAGAGUGUUGUAGAGGGGGGUGGAAUUCCAGGUGUAGCGGUGAAAUGCGUAGAGAUCUGGAGGAAUACCGGUGGCGAAGGCGGCCCCCUGGGCAAGGACUGACGCUCAGGUGCGAAAGCGUGGGGAGCAAACAGG